AGAGUUUGAUCAUGGCUCAGAACGAACGCUGGCGGCAGGCCUAACACAUGCAAGUCGAGCGCCCCGCAAGGGGAGCGGCGGACGGGUGAGUAACACGUGGGAAUUUUCCUCAAGGUACGGAACAACUCAGGGAAACUUGGGCUAAUACCGUAUGAUGUCUAGCGACCAAAGAUUUAUCGCCUUGGGAUAAGCCCGCGUCAGAUUAGGUAGUUGGUGAGGUAACGGCUCACCAAGCCUGUGAUCUGUAGCUGGUCUGAGAGGACGAUCAGCCACAUUGGGACUGAGACACGGCCCAGACUCCUACGGGAGGCAGCAGUGGGGAAUUGUUCGCAAUGGGCGCAAGCCUGACGACGCAACGCCGCGUGGAGGAUGAAGAUUUUCGGAUCGUAAACUCCUGUCGAGUGGGACGAACAGGUCGUCGGCGAAUAGCCGGCGAUCCUGACGGUACCGCUAAAGAGC
Molecule: ribosomal RNA, 459 nt
Filed under: uncultured Neomegalonema sp.
Lineage: Bacteria; Pseudomonadati; Pseudomonadota; Alphaproteobacteria; Rhodobacterales; Neomegalonemataceae
Description: bacterial SSU rRNA
Rfam family: Bacterial small subunit ribosomal RNA
Source: RNAcentral